RNAcentral lists this long non-coding RNA (5395 nucleotides) under Marmota monax (woodchuck). Lineage: Eukaryota; Metazoa; Chordata; Mammalia; Rodentia; Sciuridae. The record is from RNAcentral.
AUUUCAUUGUGUAUUUAUACCACAAUUUCUUUAUACAUUCACCUGUUGGUGUGCAUCUAAAUUGAUUCCAUACCUUAAUUAGUGUGAACUGUGCAGCUAUAAACAUUGAUGUGGGUGUGCCACUGCACUAUGCUGAUUUAAAAUCCUUUGGAUAUACGCUGAGGAGUGGGAUAGCUGGGUCAAAUGGUGGUUCCAUUCCUAGUUUAUUGAGGAAUCUUCAUACAGCUUUCCCAAGGGGUUGCUCCAAUUUGUGGUCCCACCAGAAAAAUAUUAGCAUUCCAUUUUCCCCACAUCCUCACCAAUUUAUCUUUACUUGUAUUUUUGAUAAUUGCCAUUUUGACUGGAGUAAGAUGGACUCUCAGUAUAGUUUUAAUUUGUAUUUCUCUAAUUGCUGGAAAUAUUGAACUUUUUUUUUCAUAUAUUUACUGAUCAUUUACAUUUCUUCUUUGAGAAGUGCCUGUUUAAUUCCUUUGUCCAUUUAUUGAUUAGGUUGUUGUUGUGUUUUCUUUUGUUUGUUGUUAUUGUUGUGGUUUGGUUUGGUGUGGUGUUAAGCUUUUAGAGUUAUUUAUAUAUCCUGGAAAUUAACAUCCUGAGGUGCAGGUGGCAAAGAUAUUCUCCCAUUCUGUAGGUUCUCUUUUCAUGCUGCUUUUGCUGUAAAGAAGCUUUUUUAGAUUGAGGCUAUCCAGCUUAUUGAUUUUUGAAAUAUUUUUUGUGCUUUAGGAGUAUUGUUCAGGAUGUCAGUUCCUGUACUGAGAUGUUGAAGUGUUGGUCUGACUUUUCUUCAACUAGGUGAGAGUUUCUGUCUAAUUCCUAGGUCUUUGAUUCACUUAAAGUUGAUUUUUGUGCAGGGUGAGAGAUAGUGGUUAACUUUCAUCCUAUUAUGAUUCUGUUCUGUAUCAGUUUCCAGAUUGCCAAGUACCAUCUGUAGAAAAGGCUAUCUUUUCUCCAGUGUGUGUUUUGGGCACCUUUGCCUAGUAUGAGAUAAUUGAAUUUAUGUAACUUUGUCUCUGUGUCUUCAAUUCUGCUUCAUUAGUCUUCUUGCCUAUUUUGGUGCCGAUACCAUGCCAUUUUUGUUACUGUAGCUCUGUAGUAUAAUUUAAGGUCUGCUUCUGUGAUGCCUCCUGCUUUGUAUUUCUUGCUAAGGAUUGCUUUAGCUAUUCUGGAGCUCUUAUUUUCCAAAUGUAUUUCAUGAUUGCUUUUUCUAUUUCUUUGAAGAACAUCAUUGGGAUUUUGAUGAGAAUUGCAUUGAAUCUGUAUAAAGCUUUUGAUAGUAGGCCAUUUUGACAAUAUUGAUUCUGCCUAUCCAAGAAUAUGGGAGGUCUUUCCAUAUUCUAAGCUCUUCCUCAAUUUCUUUCUUUAGUGUUCUGUAAUUUUCAUUGUAGAGAUCCUUCACUUCUUUGGUUAAAUUUAUUCCUAAGCAAUAUUUUUGAGACUACUGUGAAUGAAAUAAUUUCCCUAAUUUCUCUUUCAGCUGAUUCAUCAUUGGAGUAGAAAAAUGCCAUUGAUUUAUGGGUCUUGAUUUUGUAUUUUGCUACAUUGCUGAAUUCAUGUAUGAGUUCCAGAAGUUUAUUAGUGAAGUUUUUUUAAUCUUCUAAGUAUAGAAUCAUGGCAUCCACAGAGAUAGUUUGCACUCUUCUUUUUCUAUUAUAUCUUUUUUUAAUUUCUUUCUUUCCUUCUUUUUUUUCCUAAUUGCUCUGGGUAGUGUUUCAAGGACUAUGUUGAACAGAAGUGGUGAAAGUGUGCAUUCUUAUUUUGUCCCCAUUUUUAGAAGGAAUGACUUCAGUUUUUCUCCAUUUAGAACAAUGUUGGGCUAGGAUUUGUCAUAUAUAGCUUUUACAAUGUUGAGCUAUAUUCCUAUUAUCCCUAGUUUUUCCAGUGUUCUAAACAUGAAUGGAUGCUGAAUAUCAAAUGCUUUUUCUGCAUUUAAUGUGAUAAUUAUGUGGUUCUUGUCUUUAAGUAUAUUUAUGUGAUGUAUUACAUUUAUUGAUUUCCAUGUGUUGAACAAACAUUGCAUCCCUGGGAUGAAACCCCUUUGAUCAUGGUAUAUUAUAUUUUUAAUGUAUUCUUGUAUGCAAUUUACCAGUAUUUUUUUUAAGAAUUUUUACCUUUCUGUUCAUCAUAUUGGUCUGAAGUUUUCUUUUCUUGAUUUGUCUUUGUCUGGUUUGGGAUCAGGGUGAUACUAGUUUCACAGAAUGAAUUUGGAAGGGUUCCUUCCAUUUCUGUUUUAUGGAAUAAUUUGAGGACUGGUGUUAGUUCUUCUUUAAAGCACUGGUAGAAUUCAGAUGAGAAUCCAUCUGAUAUCCUGUAGUUUUCUGUGUUAGUAGGCUUUUGAUGGUUUCUUCAAUUUCAUUACUAGAAAUUGACUUGUUUAAAUUUUUAUACCCUCGUGGUUCAAUUUGGGUAGAUCAUAUUUGUCAACAUCUUCAAGAUUUUCUAGUGUACUGGAGUAUAAGUUUUCAAAGUAGUUCCCAAUUAUCUUCUGUAUUUCAGUAGUGUCUGUGGUGAUAUUUUAAUUUUCAUCACAGAUUUUAACAAUUUGAAUUUUUUUCUGUCUUUUAGUUAGCGUGGCUAAGGGUUUAUCAAUUUUGUCUAUUCUUUAAAAGAAUCAACUUUUUGUUUUGUCAGUUCUUUGAAAUUUUUGUUAAUUUCAAUUUUAUUGAGUUCAGCUCUGAUUUUGAUUGUUUCUGGUCUUCCAUUGAUUUUGUUGUUUAUUUGUCCUUCUUUUCCUAGGCCUUGAGUGAAAUACUAGAUUAUUUAUUUGGUGUCUUUUUAUUCUUUUAAUGAAUGAGCUCAAUACUAUGAACUUUACUCUUAGAACCACGUUCAUAGUAUCCCAGAAGUUUUAAUAUGUUGUAUCACCAUUCUCAUUUACUGCUAAGCAUUUUUCAAUUUCUUCCCUGAUUUCUUCUGCUAUACAUUCAUCAUUCAAUAGUAAAUUAUUUAAUCUCCAUGUGUCAGAGUAGUUUCUGCAUUUUGUCUUAUCAUUGAUUUCUAAUUUCAUUCCAUUAUGAUCUAAUAGUAUGCAGGGUAUGGUCUCUAUUAUUAAUAAUUAUUUUUGUAUUUGCUAAGCAUUGCUUUUUGACUUAUAAUAUUAGAAGAUAUUCCAUAUGCUGCUGAGAAGAAGGUUCAUUCAGGCUUCAUGGAUGAAAUAUUCUAUAAUGUCUCUUAAGUCUAGAUUAUUGAUUGAAUUUUUUUUGUUCUGUAGCUUCUUUAUUUAGUUUUGUUUGGAUGAUCUAUCUAGUGUUGAGAGAAGUGUGUUAAAGUCACUGAGCAUUAUUGUGUUGUGGUCUAUUUGAUUCUUGAUUUGAGGAUGGUUUGUUUGAUGUCUGUAGCAGCUCCAUUAUUUGGGGCAUAAAUAUUGUAACUGUUAUUUCUUCAUGUUCUAAGAUUCUCUUAAGCAGUAUGAAAUGGCAUUCUUUUUCUCUUCUGAUUAACUUUGGUUUGAAAUCCACCUUAUCUGAUAUGAGAAUAAAAAACCCUGCUUGUUUAUGAGGAUGAUGUGAAUUAUAUAUUUUUUCACAUCUUUUCACUGUCUAUUGAUAUCUUUGUCUAUGUCGUAGGUAUCUUGGACACAACACAUAGUUGAGUCUUGUUUUUUGAUACAAUCUGCAAGCCCAUGUCUUUUGAUUGAUGAGUUUAGACCAUUUACAUUCAGUGUAAUUAUUGAAGGAUGCUUUUUAUGUCCUGUUAUUUUGGGUUUUUUUCCUAGUUUUUAAGUUGAAUUAAAUUCUCCUUUGAGUAUUCUUCUGGUGUUGUUUCUCCCUCUGUUGAUUUUUGUUUUUAUUCACCAUUUCUUCUUUAUGAAAUAUUUUAUUGAGUAUGUUUUGUAGUGCAGGCUUUCUAGUUAUAUAUUCUUUUAACUUUUGCUUAUCAUGGAAGGUUUUUAUUUCAUCAUUGAUUCUGAAGCUUAAUUUUGAUGGAUAUAGUAGUCAUGGAUGGCAUCCAUUUUCUUUCAGAGUUUGGUAUAUAUUAUAGCUUUGGUAUAUAUAUAGCUUUCAGGGUCUGGGUUUAAAAAAAUGGCUGAAAUUGGAUUGAUUUACCACUGAGUUUUUAAUUUGGUUUACUUAUUUCUUCAUUUCAAGGAUUUCCAACUGAUUCUUCUUCAGGAUCUCUAGAUAAAGAUAAUACAAGUAGUGGAAUAUCAUCAAUAAGGAUUGAAUGAUAUUCCACUUCUUGUAUUAUCUCUAUGAUUCCAUUUCUUAUAUCAUCUUUUACCUCAUAGAUCAAGUUAACCAUGAACUUUUAAAAAUCCCAUCUCUGAAAUUUCCUCCACUGUUUUGUCAAUGGUGUCUGUUGUUGAGGUAUUCUGUGUUGUUGGGGAUGGUUUGUUCCUUGCUUUUUUAAAAUUUGAACAUGGUUUAUUAUAGACUAUUAAAAUCAUUACAAUCAUUACAGAAAAUCAUUAAUAAAGAACUUGAUUCCUCAUUAUUUUUUUAGUUGUAGUUGAACACAAUACCUUUAUUCUUUAUUUUUUAUUUUUAUGUGGUGCUGAGGAUCAAACCCAGCACCUCGCACAUGUGAGGCAAGUGCUCUACUGCUGAGCCACAACCCCAGCCCCUCCCCAUUACUUUUUAAGAACAAUUAAUUUUCAAAUAAGAUUAAUCUCAGACCAGAAUUUAAUGUGAAAUGAUAUGCAUGCUGCUUCAUGAUACAGCUGGUCCAUUACAAAGCUUCAUUUACCUCUCACCAUAAUAGAAGAUUUAUUGAAGGUGUCAUUAAUGACCUCCAAAAUAUCUCUCCCUCUGGCUUAAAAAAUUACAAAAAGAAGGAACUAGGAAAUGAAAUGUAUAGAAUAUCAUUUGGGGUUCAAUUGGCUAAAAUGCACCUCCCUCUUUGGUCAGUUAGGAUAACAAAAGGGACCAGAUCUCACUGAACAGAUACUGUCAUUGCUCACAAAUGAAUGAUGGACAUGUCUUUAAUGACCUGUGCAAAUCUGUUAACAGGGCCUCCCAGAAGGAAUUGUGCAGUUGGAAAACCACAAAUCAUAAACUUGAGUCUAUUUCUAUUAAAGAAUUAUUUCCCAGACAUUAUGUUGUUCCCUUGCUUUUUCAUAUUGCUUUUGUGUCCAGCCACCUAUCUGGAUAGAUUUGGAUCUACAGAGUUUCUACCUUGAGAGUUUAUAGUGUCCCCCUAUAUUACUAACACCUCCCAGAUUUGGGGAGGGAUCCCAAUGAUAACAAGUAUCUGUGCAAAUAAUAAGUGGCAGUAGACUGGGUACUUAAUUCCUGUUUUGACAUCUACAGUAUUAAUUGGUACAAUAUGCAGGAAGAGUGGGAUCAGCAAUUUCCAUCGGUUAAAAACAAUAAAUAAUCAUAAAUUAUGCGUGACAUAAAAUCAAACAAUGGGUGUUGUCUAUGACUACUGUAUUAAUUAUUGCUAUGGAAUUGGUGUAGGA